RNAcentral lists this ribosomal RNA (253 nucleotides) under uncultured bacterium. RNAcentral describes it as "partial 16S ribosomal RNA". It matches the Rfam family "Bacterial small subunit ribosomal RNA", at positions 524 to 776 of the family's 1533-position model. The record is from RNAcentral.
GACGUAGGGGACGAGCGUUGUCCGGAUUCAUUGGGCGUAAAGCGCGCGCAGGCGGCCUCGCGCGCCCGACGUGAAAGCCCCCGGCUUAACCGGGGAGGGUCGUUGGGGACGGCGGGGCUUGAGGGCGGGAGAGGUCGGUGGAAUUCCCGGUGUAGUGGUGAAAUGCGUAGAGAUCGGGAGGAACACCUGUGGCGAAGGCGGCCGACUGGGCCGACCCUGACGCUGAGGCGCGAAGGCGUGGGGAGCGAACGGG